Molecule: ribosomal RNA, 521 nt
Filed under: uncultured bacterium
Lineage: Bacteria
Description: bacterial SSU rRNA
Rfam family: Bacterial small subunit ribosomal RNA
Source: RNAcentral
AGUAAAUAGAUACCCGGGUAGUCCACGCCCUAAACGAUGUCAACUAGUUGUUGGGGGAGUAAAAUCCCUUAGUAACGCAGCUAAACGCGUGAAAGUUGACCGCCUGGGGAGUACGGUCGCAAGAUUAAAACUCAAAGGAAUUGACGGGGCCCGCACAAGCGGUGGAUUAUGUGGAUUAAUUCGGUGCAAACGCGAAAAACCUUACCUGGCCUUGACAUGCCACUAACGAAGCAGAGAUGCAUUAGGUGCCCGAAAGGGAAAGUGGACACAGGUGCUGCAUGGCUGUCGUCAGCUCGUGUCGUGAGAUGUUGGGUUAAGUCCCGCAACGAGCGCAACCCUUGCCAAUAAUUGCCAUCAUUCAGUUGGGCACUUUAUUGGGACUGCCGGUGACAAACCGGAGGAAGGUGGGGAUGACGUCAAGUCCUCAUGGCCCUUAUGGCCAGGGCUUCACACGUAAUACAAUGGUCGGUACAGAGGGUUGCCAACCCGCGAGGGGGAGCCAAUCCCAGAAAGCCGAUCGU